This 406-nucleotide ribosomal RNA is filed under the name uncultured bacterium. RNAcentral describes it as "partial 16S ribosomal RNA". It matches the Rfam family "Bacterial small subunit ribosomal RNA", at positions 355 to 755 of the family's 1533-position model. The record is from RNAcentral.
UGGGGAAUUUUGGACAAUGGGCGAAAGCCUGAUCCAGCAAUGCCGCGUGUGUGAAGAAGGCCUUCGGGUUGUAAAGCACUUUUGUCCGGAAAGAAAUCCUCUGGGUUAAUACCUCGGGGGGAUGACGGUACCGGAAGAAUAAGCACCGGCUAACUACGUGCCAGCAGCCGCGGUAAUACGUAGGGUGCAAGCGUUAAUCGGAAUUACUGGGGCGUAAAGCGUGCGCAGGCGGUUUUGUAAGACGGAUGUGAAAUCCCCGGGCUUAACCUGGGAACUGCAUUCGUGACUGCAAGGCUAGAGUAUGGCAGAGGGGGUAGAAUUCACGUGUAGCAGUGAAAUGCGUAGAGAUGUGGAGGAAUACCGAUGGCGAAGGCAGCCCCUGGGCCAAUACUGACGCUCAUGCACG